Molecule: ribosomal RNA, 619 nt
Filed under: Listeria monocytogenes
Lineage: Bacteria; Bacillati; Bacillota; Bacilli; Caryophanales; Listeriaceae
Also listed under: 1 other name
Description: bacterial LSU rRNA
Rfam family: Bacterial large subunit ribosomal RNA
Source: RNAcentral
CUGAGUACGGCGGAACACGUGAAAUUCCGUCGGAAUCCGGGAGGACCAUCUCCCAAGGCUAAAUACUCCCUAGUGACCGAUAGUGAACCAGUACCGUGAGGGAAAGGUGAAAAGCACCCCGGAAGGGGAGUGAAACAGUUCCUGAAACCGUGUGCCUACAAGUAGUUAGAGCCCGUUAAUGGGUGAUAGCGUGCCUUUUGUAGAAUGAACCGGCGAGUUACGAUUUGUUGCAAGGUUAAGCGGAAAAAGCGGAGCCGUAGCGAAAGCGAGUCUGAAUAGGGCGCAUAAGUAACAGGUCGUAGACCCGAAACCAGGUGAUCUACCCAUGUCCAGGAUGAAGGUAAGGUAAUACUUACUGGAGGUCCGAACCCACGCACGUUGAAAAGUGCGGGGAUGAGGUGUGGGUAGCGGAGAAAUUCCAAUCGAACUUGGAGAUAGCUGGUUCUCUCCGAAAUAGCUUUAGGGCUAGCCUCGAGGUAAAGAGUCAUGGAGGUAGAGCACUGUUUGGACUAGGGGCCCUUCUCGGGUUACCGAAUUCAGAUAAACUCCGAAUGCCAUGUACUUAUACUCGGGAGUCAGACUGCGAGUGAUAAGAUCCGUAGUCGAAAGGGAAACAGCC